RNAcentral lists this ribosomal RNA (428 nucleotides) under uncultured Enterobacteriaceae bacterium. RNAcentral's name for it is "bacterial SSU rRNA". It matches the Rfam family "Bacterial small subunit ribosomal RNA", at positions 355 to 774 of the family's 1533-position model. The record is from RNAcentral. Lineage: Bacteria; Pseudomonadati; Pseudomonadota; Gammaproteobacteria; Enterobacterales; Enterobacteriaceae.
UGGGGAAUAUUGCACAAUGGGCGCAAGCCUGAUGCAGCCAUGCCGCGUGUAUGAAGAAGGCCUUCGGGUUGUAAAGUACUUUCAGCGGGGAGGAAGGGGUUAAGGUUAAUAACCUUAGUCAUUGACGUUACCCGCAGAAGAAGCACCGGCUAACUCCGUGCCAGCAGCCGCGGUAAUACGGAGGGUUCAGCAGCUAUGUAGAUGAAUCUGGGCGUAAAGCGCACGCAGGCGGUCUGUCAAGUCGGAUGUGAAAUCCCCGGGCUCAACCUGGGAACUGCAUUCGAAACUGGCAGGCUGGAGUCUUGUAGAGGGGGUAGAAUUCCAGGUGUAGCGGUGAAAUGCGUAGAGAUCUGGAGGAAUACCGGUGGCGAAGGCGGCCCCCUGGACAAAGACUGACGCUCAGGUGCGAAAGCGUGGGGCAGCAAACA